AUUUUGGUGGCUGAAAUAUAGGCGAUAGAUUGUAAAUCUAUUUAUGACAUUUGUCCCAAAACU
RNAcentral lists this transfer RNA (63 nucleotides) under Elysia atroviridis. Its description in RNAcentral is "tRNA-Tyr". Lineage: Eukaryota; Metazoa; Mollusca; Gastropoda; Plakobranchidae. The record is from RNAcentral.